UGAGAAAUCAAAGUUUUUGGGUUC
This 24-nucleotide non-coding RNA is filed under the name Arabidopsis thaliana (thale cress). The record is from RNAcentral. Lineage: Eukaryota; Viridiplantae; Streptophyta; Magnoliopsida; Brassicales; Brassicaceae.